CCUACGGGCGGCAGCAGUGAGGAAUAUUGGUCAAUGGGCGCGAGCCUGAACCAGCCAAGUAGCGUGAAGGAUGACUGCCCUACGGGUUGUAAACUUCUUUUAUAAAGGAAUAAAGUGAGGCACGUGUGCCUUUUUGUAUGUACUUUAUGAAUAAGGAUCGGCUAACUCCGUGCCAGCAGCCGCGGUAAUACGGAGGAUCCGAGCGUUAUCCGGAUUUAUUGGGUUUAGGGGUGCGUAGGCGGAAUGCCAAGUCAGCGGUAAAAGCGCGGGGUUAAACCUCGCUCCGCGGUUGAAACUGGCGUGCUGGAGUGGGUGAGAAGUAUGCGGAAUGCGUGGUGUAGCGGUGAAAUGCAUAGAUAUCACGAAGAACUCCGAUUGCGAAGGCAGCAUACCGGAGCCCAACUGACGCUGAAGCACGAAAGCGUGGGUAUCGAACAGGAUUAGAUACCCCAGUAGUC
This 458-nucleotide ribosomal RNA is filed under the name uncultured bacterium. RNAcentral's name for it is "partial 16S ribosomal RNA". It matches the Rfam family "Bacterial small subunit ribosomal RNA", at positions 338 to 795 of the family's 1533-position model. The record is from RNAcentral.